GACGAACGCUGGCGGCGUGCUUAACACAUGCAAGUCGAACGAUGAAACCUAGCUUGCGAGGUCGAUUAGUGGCGAACGGGUGAGUAACACGUGACUAACCUGCCCCUUUCGCUGGCAUAACGCUCCGAAAGGAGUCCUAAUAGCGGAUACACACACCGAGGCACAUGCCUUGGUGUGGAAAGUUUUUCGGCAAGGUAUGGAGUCGCGGCCUAUCAGCUUGUUGGUGACGUAAGGGCUCACCAAGGCGACGACGGGUAGCCGGCCUGAGAGGGCGACCGGACACACGGGGACUGAGACACGACCCAGACUCCUACGGGAGGCAGCAGUGGGGAAUAAUGCACAAUGGGCGCAAGCCUGAUGCAGCGACGCCGCGUGAGGGAUGAAGGUCUUCGGAUUGUAAACCUCUUUCAGUAGGGACGAAGCGAAAGUGACGGUACCUAAAGAAGAAGCACCGGCUAACUACGUGCCAGCCGCCGCCGUAA
RNAcentral lists this ribosomal RNA (482 nucleotides) under uncultured bacterium. RNAcentral describes it as "partial 16S ribosomal RNA". It matches the Rfam family "Bacterial small subunit ribosomal RNA", at positions 28 to 523 of the family's 1533-position model. The record is from RNAcentral.